This is a long non-coding RNA of Mizuhopecten yessoensis (Yesso scallop), 583 nucleotides long. RefSeq lists it as uncharacterized. The record is from RefSeq and is a predicted model, not a curated record. NCBI's taxonomy places the organism in Eukaryota, Metazoa, Mollusca, Bivalvia, Pectinida, Pectinidae. The transcript is spliced from 3 exons.
GAAGACUUUAAGAGACUUCAUUAGAUGUGUUUUACGAAGCAUCACCUUACCAGAAAAACGCUUAUACACUAACUACAGCAUAAAGCAGGAAGAUUUUGAGAGACUUCAUUAGAUGCUUUUUUACAAAGCAUCACAUGUACUAGACUAAGGCGGGCGUAUAUUCAAACCAUAAGUGUUUACUUGACCAUGAAUUCCUGGUUGGGAAAGUUGUUGACGUCAAUAUUCAUUCUACCGUUCGCAGCUGCAAAUUACCGAAGACGACAGAAUGGAUCCUGGUAUUAUGAUUGUACUAUUUCGUCCCGUGUUCUGUUCCUGCUUGUUCUUUCAAUAGUGAUAGUAUUUUCCGCCACCAAAUGGAUACCAACACAUAUGGAUCUUCGAUUGGGAUUUGUCGUAAUUCUUCUGUCUUUACUUAUGGUCUCUGGGCUGAUUGGGAUCUAUAUCAUGGGAUGCCUGGUUCGGAAACGAGGCAUCCUGUCCGUUGUUGCUGCAAGACGAAACUCAAAUACACCAAAACUUCAAGUGAUAUUCCUGUGGGUUUUCGGUCUGGCAUCGGGAUUGAAUAGUGCUUUAUUUGUCGGCA